Molecule: long non-coding RNA, 1845 nt
Organism: Hydractinia symbiolongicarpus
Lineage: Eukaryota; Metazoa; Cnidaria; Hydrozoa; Anthoathecata; Hydractiniidae
Exons: 2
Source: RefSeq, a predicted model, not a curated record
GCGCUCUAUGGAUAUAUGAUAGGCCUAAAUACCUGUACUAAGCGAUGCACUAGAUAAGCAAGUGGCAUGGUGUAUCUGUAUUAACUACCUAUCUGUACCUGUAUUCAUUGAACAUCGCUUAGUAAUUUGUAUUAUCCAAAGGAACGUCUUUCACGAAAUAAAAGAAAUGCGAUAUGUAACUUUGACCCUGGUCUUUGUAAUUAAACAAAAGUUACGGUAAAUUUAUUUCUUUAAAAAUGGCGCUUUCAUUUAUUGAUGUGAGGCCAUAUGCCUGAAGUGCUAUCUAUAUAAUAAUACGCUUGUGUGAGUAACCAUGUGAGUCCACGACACGCAAAGUUACGAGAUGGCGUUACGCUAAAAUUUACCAAGUUAAAAAAACGCAAAUCAGGGGGUUACUAUUUAAACUUUUAAUUCUUUUUUUUCGUUAUUUUAAAAAAUAAAACUCAUUUUUUUAUUAUAUUAACAAUAAAUUUUUAUUUUUAUUUCUAAAUGUUUCUAUUUGUUUAUUUUUUGUUUUAAAAGUCCUGUUGGUCGUUAUAGAUAGAAUAAUUUGAUUUUACCCCCGGAUUAAUGUGCACGCCGUAUCUAAGGGAAACAAGUUGUUUAUCGACUGAAAAAAGAAAACCGAAUCAAAGAAGGUUGUCUGUUUUUCAAAGUAAUCCUGGAAAAAGUUAUUUCAAACAAUGUUUACUCAUCAUAAGGUUAAUUUAAAGCUUAUUUUUGUUUUUCUAUAUUUUCCAUUUUUGUGUUCUGGGACCGAGGUUGCUUCCUUUCAUAAAAAUUCUAUCGGAUUUGAAUAUGAAUGUAAUUUGAAUCUGAAAUGUAAAAAACAAAAAUGUUGUUGUAGAGCGGCUUUUGUUGUCGAGCGAGUACAAAAAGUUUAUUUUGUUGUCAGAAAUAUAUGUUAUAAAGAAGAAAAACGUACGACGAUGAAAUAUAUCAGCCAAUUGUAGCUAGCUAUACAUUUUCCAUUUGUUUUCUUUGGUAUGAAGCGAAGUUUAGUAAUCGAAGUAAAAAACUGAUUGAACUUUUAUCCAGAGAACGUUAGCUACUACUGGGAAAGCGAAAGAAAACCAAGUGUGUUAUAGCUUUUAUCUUUCAGGAGCCAACCUGUGUCUUCAGAAAGGUGAUUUGGAGGCUCCGUUGUUAUUGAUGACAUCCAUAACUGUGCAACAUACUUUGUGCGAUAAAUCUUUUGACGCAACACUCAUAAACAAGGUGGCAGAGAACUUCCAUCAAACUUCUUAUCACAUGGAAUUGCUUCAUUUUCUCCUCAUGUAGUUUGAGAUUCUUCUGCUUGAAGUUCCAUAGCCACUUUGGCAAUUGCAAGAUCGUAUGUUACGAAAUGUUUUUCUUACAACAUUUAUUUGCAAUCACCUGUGCACGUCUCAAUGAUUCUGCUACUACAGCUAUAGAAGUUGGGAACUGAUUAAUUUGUGGCAGGUACCAAACUCUUUUGCAUAUUGUUGGUAUUUGGAAAAAUUAUAGAAUUUCAGCCAACCUACGUUGGUGCAGUGUCGGGUGGAAAAUAAAACCCAUCAUUCACAAGGUAUCGUACAUGCGUGCUUUGAUAUAUGAGAUUGGUUCUGUACUCCUCUCUUGUCAUCUAGUGGAAGCAUUAUUCUUGUUAACUUCUUAGGUUUUUAUCUGUACGGCUCUAUGUCUAAUCCUGAAUGAUGAGGAAUAGUCUUACAACAAAGGAAUAGUCUUUGUACCUUAUGAGGUCCAAUUUGAGUUUCUGUUCAGAUCUUUGUCUGACCUGCUGAUAGGACCGCAUUUUUUGGUAAGCUCGACCAUUUAUGUAUUACAUAGUUAGUAUAGAACACAAAUACUGAGUUUGGGCUU